GCGGCCUAUCAGCUUGUUGGUGAGGUAAUGGCUCACCAAGGCAACGACGGGUAGCCGGCCUGAGAGGGCGACCGGCCACACUGGGACUGAGACACGGCCCAGACUCCUACGGGAGGCAGCAGUGGGGAAUAUUGGGCAAUGGACGUAAGUCUGACCCAGCGACGCCGCGUGCGGGAUGAAGGCCUUCGGGUUGUAAACCGCUUUCAGCAGGGAAGAAGCGAAAGUGACGGUACCUGCAAAAGAAGCACCGGCUAACUAUGUGCCAGCAGCCGCGGUAAUACAUAGGGUGCAAGCGUUGUCCGGAAUUAUUGGGCGUAAAGAGUUCGUAGGUGGUUCGUUACGUCGGAUGUGAAAAUCUGGGGCUCAACCCCAGACCUGCAUUCGAUACGGGCGAGCUAGAGUUUGGUAGGGGAGACUGGAAUUCCU
This 426-nucleotide ribosomal RNA is filed under the name uncultured Actinomycetes bacterium. RNAcentral describes it as "bacterial SSU rRNA". It matches the Rfam family "Bacterial small subunit ribosomal RNA", at positions 233 to 671 of the family's 1533-position model. Lineage: Bacteria; Bacillati; Actinomycetota; Actinomycetes. The record is from RNAcentral.